GCAAAUUAUUAUGAAAAACACAUACUGAAAAUGACUAAAUUCAACAAACACAUAACCUUAGAGACAGAUAACAGGCUGAGGAGAUUGCACAAAAUCAUGGCUGAGUGCGGAGUCCAAGGAAAUUGCGCAUAACCAGAUCACAAAAACAAUCACAGGACAGCAUCAUCCUACUCCAAAUCACUGUCAUCAUCAUCUUCACCUCCUCUGUUCUUCUUCAGUUUGGUUGUCCCUCCCUCCUUGCUAAUAGGAAGCUUCAUAUUCCCAAAGGGAGUGUCCACAUCGAUGUUUCCCUUGAUAGAAUAGCCAGUACCCCUCCCCCGGAUCAUAUCCCAUAUAGCAGAUCCGAAAUCCUUCGGCUUGAAAGUGAUGGGAAUCUUCAUCCGACAGACUCCCUGCUUCUCAAUUUUUAUGGACUGUGUGAGCUCCGCAGAUGCAAUGCUCUCAUUAGAGAGCCAGAACUCGUAGUCCAGCAUAUUGAGCCCCAGAUCAAAGUCGU
This 496-nucleotide unclassified non-coding RNA is filed under the name Hevea brasiliensis (rubber tree). The record is from RNAcentral. Lineage: Eukaryota; Viridiplantae; Streptophyta; Magnoliopsida; Malpighiales; Euphorbiaceae.